AAUGAACGCUGGCGGCGCGCCUAAUACAUGCAAGUCGAGCGAGAAGACGUAGCAAUACGUUUGUAAAGCGGCGAACGGGUGAGGAAUACAUGGGUAACCUACCCUCGAGUGGGGAAGUAACUAGCCGAAAGGUUAGCUAAUACCGCGUACGCUUCUUGGACUUCGGUUCAGGGAGGAAAGCGAUGCCGAGGGUAUCGCGCUCUUGGAUGGGCUCAUGUCCUAUCAGCUUGUUGGNGAGGUAACGGCUCACCAAGGCUUCGACGGGUAGCUGGUCUGAGAGGACGAUCAGCCACACUGGCACUGCGACACGGGCCAGACUCCUACGGGAGGCAGCAGUAAGGAAUAUUGCGCAAUGGGCGAAAGCCUGACGCAGCGACGCCGCGUGGGGGAGU
RNAcentral lists this ribosomal RNA (392 nucleotides) under uncultured bacterium. RNAcentral's name for it is "bacterial SSU rRNA". It matches the Rfam family "Bacterial small subunit ribosomal RNA", at positions 29 to 410 of the family's 1533-position model. The record is from RNAcentral.